CUGAAAGAACCGAGAUAAGGGUGAUCUAGAAGAUAUGCAUCAAAAUGGCACUGCUACCAGUCAUCUUAUUGUCACUCAUGAUACCAGUUUCUCUUCUGAGUUGCCGGGGACAGAACUUAUUCGCUGGAGUUUCAAAGGUGCUGUAGGGACUUCAAACGUUGCAUGGAACUGGGAAUAGUCUACUUUGAAGAAUCCUUCCUCUAAGGAAAUAACAGGGAAGAAACGAUGGCCCCAAAGAACUUCAUCUUCUGUGUAGGAUGUUCUGGCCUGACAAGUCAUCCCUACAAGUUCAAAGGCAAACAAGAGCUUGAUUGCUGUCGUCUCCCCUUCAGGUUAUCCAGUCACAAUGCUGCAGUGACUUUGGAAGCAACUACUGACAAAAAUCCCUUUUCUAUGCAAUAGAACACCAGCCCUGUUCAGAU
Molecule: long non-coding RNA, 422 nt
Organism: Lacerta agilis (Sand lizard)
Lineage: Eukaryota; Metazoa; Chordata; Lepidosauria; Squamata; Lacertidae
Exons: 4
Source: RefSeq, a predicted model, not a curated record